Molecule: long non-coding RNA, 460 nt
Organism: Nerophis lumbriciformis (worm pipefish)
Lineage: Eukaryota; Metazoa; Chordata; Actinopteri; Syngnathiformes; Syngnathidae
Source: RefSeq, a predicted model, not a curated record
UCAGAGUCAAGUCAAACCUCCCCGAAUUCCAACGAUGGAAUAAAAACUAGUGCGUCGUGACCAAAAGUCUAACUGGUGUUUGCUGUAACGUCUAACGAAGACAAAAUGGGAUUCCUCUCAGCACUUGCAGUUGCAGCCGGCGCAGCAGGCGUGGCAGGAGGCGUUGUGUUUUUUGCGCCUGUUGCUCUUGCGACCAUUGGUUACACCGCCGUGGUGGUCGUGACAACAACAGGUACAGCUGGUGCAGGUGCUGCGGCGGCUUCUGCCCCUGUCGCAGGCUUGGUGAUGGCGCUCAUCUGAGUCCUUCAAGACCACUAAAAAUAUGUCGGCCAUUUCAUUUAUUAGGCCACAGUUCAUUACAAUUUAAAACUGAUGAGUUCAUCUUGCAAUAGUGUGAAUGGAAAUGUUGCAGAUGGUUUUGUUGCGGUGCAAGUUUGAAGAAAAUACAACUGAAAUGUUA